Molecule: ribosomal RNA, 435 nt
Filed under: uncultured fungus
Lineage: Eukaryota; Fungi
Description: eukaryotic LSU rRNA
Rfam family: Eukaryotic large subunit ribosomal RNA
Source: RNAcentral
GACCUCUAAUCGGGUGGGACUACCCGCUGAACUUAAGCAUAUCAAUAAGCGGAGGAAAAGAAACUAACAAGGAUUCCCCUAGUAACGGCGAGUGAAGAGGGAAAAGCUCAAAUUUUGAAUCUGGUGUCUUUGACUCCCGAGUUGUAAUCUAGAGAAGUGUUUUCCGUGUCGGACCGUGCACAAGUUCCCUGGAACGGGGCGUCAUAGAGGGUGAGAAUCCCGUAUAUGGCACGGACCGCCGAUGAUCUGUGAUACACUCUCAACGAGUCGAGUUGUUUGGGAAUGCAGCUCAAAAUGGGUGGUAAAUUCCAUCUAAAGCUAAAUAUUGGCGAGAGACCGAUAGCGAACAAGUACCGUGAGGGAAAGAUGAAAAGCACUUUGGAAAGAGAGUGAAACAGUACGUGAAAUUGUUGAAAGGGAAGCGUUUGAAGUCAG